GCCAGGUGUGGUGGUGGACACCUGUAAUCCCAGCUACUUGGAAGGCUGAGGUGGGAGGAUCACUUGAGCCCAGGAGGUUGAGGCUGCAGUGAGCCAUGAUCAUGCCACUGCUCUCAGCCUGGGCUACAGAGUGAGACCCUGUCUCCA
Molecule: signal recognition particle RNA, 147 nt
Filed under: Chlorocebus sabaeus (green monkey)
Lineage: Eukaryota; Metazoa; Chordata; Mammalia; Primates; Cercopithecidae
Description: Metazoan signal recognition particle RNA
Rfam family: Metazoan signal recognition particle RNA
About the family: The signal recognition particle (SRP) is a universally conserved ribonucleoprotein.
Source: Rfam by way of RNAcentral